UACGGAGGGAGCUAGCGUUGUUCGGAAUUACUGGGCGUAAAGCGCGCGUAGGCGGUUUCUCAAGUCAGAGGUGAAAGCCCGGGGCUCAACCCCGGAAUUGCCUUUAAGACUGCAUCGCUAGAAUUGUGGAGAGGUAAGUGGAAUUCCGAGUGUAGAGGUGAAAUUCGUAGAUAUUCGGAAAGAACACCAGUGGCGAAGGACGACUUAC
RNAcentral lists this ribosomal RNA (208 nucleotides) under uncultured bacterium. RNAcentral's name for it is "partial 16S ribosomal RNA". It matches the Rfam family "Bacterial small subunit ribosomal RNA", at positions 524 to 729 of the family's 1533-position model. The record is from RNAcentral.